This 948-nucleotide ribosomal RNA is filed under the name uncultured Staphylococcus sp. Its description in RNAcentral is "bacterial SSU rRNA". It matches the Rfam family "Bacterial small subunit ribosomal RNA", at positions 42 to 971 of the family's 1533-position model. Lineage: Bacteria; Bacillati; Bacillota; Bacilli; Caryophanales; Staphylococcaceae. The record is from RNAcentral.
GCGUGCCUAAUACAUGCAAGUCGAGCGAACGGACGAGAAGCUUGCUUCUCUGAUGUUAGCGGCGGACGGGUGAGUAACACGUGGAUAACCUACCUAUAAGACUGGGAUAACUUCGGGAAACCGGAGCUAAUACCGGAUAAUAUUUUGAACCGCAUGGUUCAAAAGUGAAAGACGGUCUUGCUGUCACUUAUAGAUGGAUCCGCGCUGCAUUAGCUAGUUGGUAAGGUAACGGCUUACCAAGGCAACGAUGCAUAGCCGACCUGAGAGGGUGAUCGGCCACACUGGAACUGAGACACGGUCCAGACUCCUACGGGAGGCAGCAGUAGGGAAUCUUCCGCAAUGGGCGAAAGCCUGACGGAGCAACGCCGCGUGAGUGAUGAAGGUCUUCGGAUCGUAAAACUCUGUUAUUAGGGAAGAACAUAUGUGUAAGUAACUGUGCACAUCUUGACGGUACCUAAUCAGAAAGCCACGGCUAACUACGUGCCAGCAGCCGCGGUAAUACGUAGGUGGCAAGCGUUAUCCGGAAUUAUUGGGCGUAAAGCGCGCGUAGGCGGUUUUUUAAGUCUGAUGUGAAAGCCCACGGCUCAACCGUGGAGGGUCAUUGGAAACUGGAAAACUUGAGUGCAGAAGAGGAAAGUGGAAUUCCAUGUGUAGCGGUGAAAUGCGCAGAGAUAUGGAGGAACACCAGUGGCGAAGGCGACUUUCUGGUCUGUAACUGACGCUGAUGUGCGAAAGCGUGGGGAUCAGACAGGAUUAGAUACCCUGGUAGUCCACGCCGUAAACGAUGAGUGCUAAGUGUUAGGGGGUUUCCGCCCCUUAGUGCUGCAGCUAACGCAUUAAGCACUCCGCCUGGGGAGUACGACCGCAAGGUUGAAACUCAAAGGAAUUGACGGGGACCCGCACAAGCGGUGGAGCAUGUGGUUUAAUUCGAAGCAACGCGAAGAACCU